Molecule: long non-coding RNA, 539 nt
Organism: Ornithorhynchus anatinus (platypus)
Lineage: Eukaryota; Metazoa; Chordata; Mammalia; Monotremata; Ornithorhynchidae
Exons: 2
Source: RefSeq, a predicted model, not a curated record
CACCAUGUGGCUCAGAUGAUUAGUUUUUCUUCACACAGUCCGAACUGGCAAAGUGUGUUGGGAAUAAGAUAAGCAUAAUUUAUUUGGUGCUGGCAGACAAUGGAGCAGAUGUGAUUCACACCAGAAGAUCUGAUUAAAAAAAAAAAGAGUUGGGCACUGCUUUCUUACAAAUCUGGAGUUACCACAUGAGGGGCUUCUAGUGCUCCUGCGAUUGUAAGGUGGUCAUUCUCGGAGCUGAUUGGUUUAAUGGCCUUUAUCAUCCUAAGGGCUGGAAACUCUGAGGAUGCUAUGGCAAGGGCCUCUGCAGAUCAGGAUGAGACUCUCCACCUCUUGUUUGUCCAAAGGGUUCUCUGAGUGGCCUCAGGACCCAAAAUACGAGACAGCAGGAGUGAGAGCUUGGUAUCGUCACAGUGCUACAUUGAUGAUGUGAGAAGAGCCUCGGAAAGAGAAGCUGGAAUCAAGAUCAAAGAGCAGAGCAAAUGAAUUUGUAGGCUUUGUACUACUGUCUCUUUGUAUUAAAGAAUUGUACUGUAGCCGUG